This 627-nucleotide unclassified non-coding RNA is filed under the name Dendronephthya gigantea. RNAcentral describes it as "uncharacterized LOC114523449, transcript variant X2". Lineage: Eukaryota; Metazoa; Cnidaria; Anthozoa; Malacalcyonacea; Nephtheidae. The record is from RNAcentral.
UAUUCGUAUACACUAUACACUAAACAUAAACAUUGGCAUUGCGAUCUUCACUGUGAUCGUUUGAGGCAAGCAAAGUAGCAAGUUAAAUACCUACAAGGUCUGGAGCGCCGACAUAGGCAUGGAACCACCACCAUUCCUUCGAGAAAAGUUUCCACCUCGUCCAAAACUGAAGCAAUCCACGAAUGCUCUAAAUGAGGGAUAUAAAACUGUCUAUCAGUUAGAAAUCUCAGAAAUGCCAGCCAGAUUGAGAUAUGGAGUGGAUGCAGUCAACUAUCAGCCACCAGAGUUAAUGAAACACUCACCAUAUGCUACCAAAUACGCCUGGGCCACCGAGGGCUUCAUGCGCGACACAUUUCCUUCCUUCAGACAUCAUGACGUGCCACCUGUCCCGAGUCGCAGUGACUCGGAAGCAAAAAAUACCUGAUAAUCUCGUCUACUGAAAUGAAUAUUACUUACUGUAAACGCGUCACGAUGUGUAUUAUUUUAAUUUAUACUUGCUUGUGUGUUGCGACAAUUUAGGUCCUUACAAUUUAACAUAUAGCUAUUAUUACUGUUCAUAUUGCUUCGUAGAGUUUUUCAAACAAAAGAUUACGUCGUAAAGUAAUAAAAGAGGUUAAUUUUAUUACA